Mya arenaria is the source of this 795-nucleotide long non-coding RNA. RefSeq lists it as uncharacterized. The record is from RefSeq and is a predicted model, not a curated record. The transcript is spliced from 3 exons. NCBI's taxonomy places the organism in Eukaryota, Metazoa, Mollusca, Bivalvia, Myida, Myidae.
CAAAAAAGAUAUACGUAAAUCUUAACUUACCGGCGUAAAAUGCUAUCCCAGUCGAGGUCUUAAUACUAUAAAUACUAUACGUGUUACGUCAGUAUAACUGUAAUGUAUGAACAUCUUGCCAUUAAAACAAAAUCACACUGUAUUGUUUAUCCUGGAGGAAUUAUAUAUUGACACCAGUGUUUAAAAAAAUCUUAGCAAUAAUUUAAACAGCAUAUACACGUAUACUGUGAGGGAGCAAAAAAAUCACGUGACCACAAAUGCGAACGACCACGGAGAAAUUCAGACAACAAAACGACAUUUGUAUAUCACACAGGAAGCACACACAUGUACAAAUCCGACAUGUCAACACCAGAAUGUGACCGAGAUUGUGCGGCAUGCGUUUCGAGGCAUUUGACCAUUGUAAAGGAGAUUAUUGUCAAGGACCAUAUGUUCGAUAGACGUUCGACGGAAAAGAAGAAGAGUGGUACAGUAUGUUUGGAUCGAAAUUCAUUACAAAAAGGAGCACUGGGUGUCAGAUGGGAAAAGGCGAAAUGAUUCGAAAACGUUAGUUACAUCCUAAAUGGGACUCCUAUGCAUUCAUUGUUGAUAUGAUCAUAUGGAAGUUCUAAUGCUACUGGGUAGUUCAUUUAUAGCCGGCGAAUGACAUGUAUAUUUAGUCAUUACUCAAUUACAAAGUUGUUUCUGAUUAAAUAUGUGUUGUGCUUUUAUUCUCUACUGACAUGCCACUUAUAUAGCAAUAAUUGUUAUUAUAAGGGAAUAAUUGUUAAGAUAAAUCAAAUAAAACUGAUAUUUGAA